Molecule: transfer RNA, 71 nt
Filed under: Ophisaurus attenuatus
Lineage: Eukaryota; Metazoa; Chordata; Lepidosauria; Squamata; Anguidae
Description: tRNA-Trp
Rfam family: tRNA
About the family: Transfer RNA (tRNA) molecules are approximately 80 nucleotides in length. Their secondary structure includes four short double-helical elements and three loops (D, anti-codon, and T loops).
Source: RNAcentral
AGAAAUUUAGGUUAAUACCAAACCGAGGGCCUUCAAAGCCCUAAAUAGAGAAUAAACUUCCCUAAUUUCUG